GGCUAUACAUGCAGUCGAGCGGACCUUUUAAAGCUUGCUUUUGAAAGGUCAGCGGCGGACGGGUGAGUAACACGUGGGCAACCUGCCUGUAAGACUGGGAUAACUUCGGGAAACCGGAGCUAAUACCGGAUAAUAUAAAGAACCUCCUGGUUCUUUAUUGAAAGAUGGUUUCGGCUAUCACUUACAGAUGGGCCCGCGGCGCAUUAGCUAGUUGGUGAGGUAACGGCUCACCAAGGCGACGAUGCGUAGCCGACCUGAGAGGGUGAUCGGCCACACUGGGACUGAGACACGGCCCAGACUCCUACGGGAGGCAGCAGUAGGGAAUCUUCCACAAUGGACGAAAGUCUGAUGGAGCAACGCCGCGUGAGCGAUGAAGGCCUUCGGGUCGUAAAGCUCUGUUGUUAGGGAAGAACAAGUGCGAGAGUAACUGCUCGCACCUUGACGGUACCUAACCAGAAAGCCACGGCUAACUACGUGCCAGCAGCCGCGGUAAUACGUAGGUGGCAAGCGUUGUCCGGAAUUAUUGGGCGUAAAGCGCGCGCAGGUGGUCCUUUAAGUCUGAUGUGAAAGCCCACGGCUCAACCGUGGAGGGUCAUUGGAAACUGGGGGACUUGAGUGCAGAAGAGGAAAGUGGAAUUCCAAGUGUAGCGGUGAAAUGCGUAGAGAUUUGGAGGAACACCAGUGGCGAAGGCGACUUUCUGGUCUGUAACUGACACUGAGGCGCGAAAGCGUGGGGAGCAAACAGGAUUAG
Molecule: ribosomal RNA, 751 nt
Filed under: bacterium IBRC-M B1
Lineage: Bacteria
Description: bacterial SSU rRNA
Rfam family: Bacterial small subunit ribosomal RNA
Source: RNAcentral